RNAcentral lists this ribosomal RNA (477 nucleotides) under uncultured bacterium. Its description in RNAcentral is "bacterial SSU rRNA". It matches the Rfam family "Bacterial small subunit ribosomal RNA", at positions 335 to 802 of the family's 1533-position model. The record is from RNAcentral.
ACUCCUACGGGAGGCAGCAGUGGGGAAUAUUGGACAAUGGGGGGAACCCUGAUCCAGCCAUGCCGCGUGUGUGAAGAAGGCCUUAUGGUUGUAAAGCACUUUAAAGCGAGGAGGAGGCUACUGAGACUAAUACUCUUGGAUAGUGGACGUUACUCGCAGAAUAAGCACCGGCUAACUCUGUGCCAGCAGCCGCGGUAAUACAGAGGGUGCGAGCGUUAAUCGGAUUUACUGGGCGUAAAGCGUGCGUAGGCGGUCUUUUAAGUCGGAUGUGAAACUCCCCGAGCUUAACUUGGGAAUUGCAUUCGAUACUGGGGAAGCUAGAGUAUGGGAGAGGAUGGUAGAAUUCCAGGUGUAGCGGUGAAAUGCGUAGAGAUCUGGAGGAAUACCGAUGGCGAAGGCAGCCAUCUGGCCUAAUACUGACGCUGAGGUACGAAAGCAUGGGAGCAAACAGGAUUAGAUACCCCUGGUAGACUGUCA